UUAUCAGCUGAGUGAAUAAUUGUAGAUAAUGUAGAUAAUUGUAGAUAAUGCAUUCUUCACCGAAGAGCUUUUCAAUGGCUCUUUUGGCUAUGCAGAUGAAUAAGCCGAGAAUGGCACUGGGAGAAAACUGAUGUGUUUCAUUGUACUGUCUUCAUCCUCCAUGCAAGAUAGCCUGUGUUACACUGAGGGCCAUAGUAGUGUUCCUGUAUCACACCGUAAAACACACACUUGUUAAAUAUUAAUGAUUCAGAACCCAAGUUACCUACAAAUAAUAUCAAUUUAUACACACAUUUUGCAAAAACAUGACAAGACAAAAUAGAAAAAAGACUGAAAACUGUUAGAAAAUCUAUUCUGCACUAAUGAUUGAGAAAGAAUUAAUAAAAACUCAAAUAUCCAUUUUUUUGAGUAUGGAUCUUGUAAAUAUAGAAAAAGUGUCAUGAUUCCCAAUGCAUAAUUAGUUUGUACACUUGAUGGUGGAAUAACCUUUAAAAAACGUUAUAAGCAUUACAAGCAAUUGUCAGUGCUUGAAUCCAUAAUCAUUUUAGACAGGUUUAGGUUUUAAAUAAUAUUUAAGGGCAGAUUUUUAUGAAUUCUUGCCCAUGUGAGUCUAUCAUAUCUUCCACCAGACUGUUAACCAUCAGUUUCCAUUUUGUAUCUGUUUUAUCAUAUUCCAUGAAGAUUUCUUCACUCUGUGGAUAAGCCUUCAGAACAGUAGCAACCAUCUGCUGGGAUAGUACAGCAUAGUAACAUGGAGUCAGAAAAACAGUUUUUUGACCCUGCUAAAGAAAGAAAACACAACUUCUAAAACCACCUAAAACCAAGGAUAUCUGUAGAAGCUGAUGAAUUUGAUGAAACUGGGGACAGUGGAUUGGUGGGCACUACUGAAGAUGAUGAUUCAUCAGUGACCAGCUGAACAUGCAAAUCUACAAUACAUCAUAAAAUAAAAGGACAGCUUGCAUUAUUUUUUCUUUUCAAUCAGAUGAUAAUCAAUACAUUAGUAAAUGAGAACAGAUAA
Molecule: long non-coding RNA, 1015 nt
Organism: Pangasianodon hypophthalmus (striped catfish)
Lineage: Eukaryota; Metazoa; Chordata; Actinopteri; Siluriformes; Pangasiidae
Exons: 2
Source: RefSeq, a predicted model, not a curated record